RNAcentral lists this ribosomal RNA (450 nucleotides) under uncultured bacterium. Its description in RNAcentral is "bacterial SSU rRNA". It matches the Rfam family "Bacterial small subunit ribosomal RNA", at positions 355 to 825 of the family's 1533-position model. The record is from RNAcentral.
UAGGGAAUAUUGCACAAUGGGGGAAACCCUGAUGCAGCGACGCCGCGUGAGUGAUGAAGGCCUUCGGGUCGUAAAGCUCUGUCGUAUGGGACUAACAAAAUGAAGGUACCAUGCAAGAAAGGAUCGGCUAACUUCGUGCCAGCAGCCACGGUAAGACGAGGGAUCCUAGCGUUGUUCGGAAUUAUUGGGCGUAAAGCGGGUGUAGGCGGACUUAUAAGUCAGGUGUGAAAUCCCAGGGCUCAACCCUGGAAGUGCACUUGAUACUGCAAGUCUUGAGUGUGGUAGAGGCUAUUAGAAUUCCUGGUGUAGUGGUGAAAUACGUAGAUAUCAGGAGGAAUACCGGAGGCGAAGGCGGAUAGCUGGGCCAACACUGACGCUGAGACCCGAAAGCGUGGGGAUCAAACAGGAUUAGAUACCCUCGUAGUCCCUGAGCGGGCUGGCAAGGCGCAU